Molecule: ribosomal RNA, 777 nt
Filed under: uncultured Neocallimastigales
Lineage: Eukaryota; Fungi; Neocallimastigomycota; Neocallimastigomycetes; Neocallimastigales
Description: partial large subunit ribosomal RNA
Rfam family: Eukaryotic large subunit ribosomal RNA
Source: RNAcentral
GAGACUCUGUGCGCGUGCAUAUCAAUAAGCGGAGGAAAAGAAACUAACAAGGAUUCCCUUAGUAACGGCGAGUGAAGCGGGAAGAGCUCAAAUUUGAAAUCUUAAAGGUUUUCCCUUGACGAAUUGUAGUUUAAAGAAGUGUUUUCUGUUGGAGUUUCGGUAAAAGUUCUUUGGAAUAGGACAUCGAUAGAGGGUGAGAAUCCCGUAUUUGACCGUUACUUUCCAGCUGUGUGAUACACUUUCAAAGAGUCGGAUUGUUUGGGAAUGCAGUCCAAAGAUGGGUGGUAAAUUUCAUCUAAAGCUAAAUAUUGGCGAGAGACCGAUAGCGAACAAGUACCGUGAGGGAAAGAUGAAAAGAACUUUGAAAAGAGAGUUAAACAGUACGUGAAAUUGUCAAAAGGGAAGCGUUUGACACCAGUGUUGUUUAGUUGAAAAUCAAUUCAAUAGUUUUUGAUUCUAAGUAGUAUUGACUUCAUCAGCUUGCUGCUUUCUUCUCAGAAAUUAUUGAAUGCACUUUUCAGUUAACAAGUCAACAUCAAUUUCUUUUGUUGUAAAAGGGUAAGAGGAAGGUGGCUUGCGCUUCGGCUCAAGUGUUUAUAGCCUUUUAUCUCUGCAAUCGGAGAGAUUGAGGUCUGCAGCGUAGAUCCUUCGGGGUUAGAUACAUUGGUGCUAAGCUAUAGCCUUGUAUAGACAACUUGUUGACUAUGCUCAGUCAUGUAGCUUACUCGCUGAUGCUAUUUUACCUACGCUUAGGAUGUUGACAGCAGUAUAGACUGU